GCUGGGCGGACGCGGGAGGCCGGGGAAGGAGAGGCGAAAAACACGCCCUUGAUGGAUGAGAGGGACAGGGGAUAGCUUUUGUGGAUCGAGACUCAAUAGGGGAGGGAGACUAUGGAAAUGAUUCCUUAGCUGAUUUGUGGAUCUUGGCCCUCUCUGUGUACAGAACUCGCUCCACUGGGGUUCCUGGGACAUUGAGUAGUUGGGGCACUGUUUCAAACAUGACAAGGCCAUUCCCCACUCAGUGUGCGAAGAAUGCACAUUGUUAGAAGGCUCCUCCUGUGAUUUUUAUGUUCGUCCAUCUUGGCGGAACCCCUCCCUUUCUUGAAGAUGGAACGGUAGAUACCUGUAAUUUCGGGUAGAAGCCAUGUAGGGUCCAUCAGUUUGAUUCGUAACCCAAAUUUAAGAUUGAGUAGCGAGAAGGAAAGGGCAUGUAAAUGACCCUCUCCUUGCCCCGCAAACGACUAAGGAAAUUUAAAGAAUUUAUUUACAACUAGAGGUUGCUAAGCAAUGACGAUAAUCAUAUAGAACCCAGAAGCAUCACUGUGAAGACUUCACAAUGCAAGGUCAGACGCAUUAGAAGGGAUUCCAGACCGCAAUCUUCAUACCAGUUCCUGCUACUAGCAUUCAGUUUUGGUUUCGCCCUGUUGCCAUGCUGGCCCUGAACUCCAAGGCUCAAGGAAUCCCAACCCCUCUCCGCCUCCACCUCCCAAAGAAGUGCUGAGAUUACAGGUGUGAGCCACCACGACCGGCCUACACUGAGCUUUAAAUUAGCUACUGCUCACUAAAGUCUCCAUGAAGAAGACGUCACCCUUUGCUGUGUCAGAGAAAUGUAGUAAAAGCGAGUAAGUAUUUAAUCACUGCACACUGCUGCUUGAGUAAUAAAGCAUGUAUAAAAGA
This is a long non-coding RNA of Homo sapiens (human), 897 nucleotides long. RefSeq lists it as uncharacterized. The transcript is spliced from 2 exons. The record is from RefSeq and is a predicted model, not a curated record. NCBI's taxonomy places the organism in Eukaryota, Metazoa, Chordata, Mammalia, Primates, Hominidae.